RNAcentral lists this long non-coding RNA (1322 nucleotides) under Salarias fasciatus (jewelled blenny). RNAcentral describes it as "lncRNA (ENSSFAG00005025311.1)". Lineage: Eukaryota; Metazoa; Chordata; Actinopteri; Blenniiformes; Blenniidae. The record is from RNAcentral.
GAGGGUGGAACAAUUCCAACAAUGGAUAAAACACAAACUACAAAGAUAAAAGAAAAGAGGACGAGGUCCGAAAUGCCAGAAAAGGUGCAGAUCGGGAGCGCAGCUAGCGAAGAGCUAGCUAGCACAAACGAGCAUCCCCGCUGGGUGACAGAGCUACAAGCUAAAGUGGCUAAAAUAGAAACGGGACAGAACAAAGCGGAUGCUAAACUGGAUAAAAUCAGCAAACAAACGGAGGACAUUUGGAGAGGAGCGCGUGAAGAUCUGGGACAACUGAAAGAGUUAAUGGACAAACUUGCCGAAGAGAUGAAACGAGGGCUGGACAACUACAGAGAGGAAACCAACAAAAGGUUUGAUGUUGUGGAUGAAGAAAUGCGGGCGCAGAGUAAAGAUAUUGAAUUUCUGGAAGAGCGCGUGGCUGAGGGGGAGGAGUGGCGCACCGAUGUCCAUGAUAUCAUUAAGAUGUCGCUGGAACAACAGAAAAAGCUACAAGACAAACUGACGGACCUGGAAGGGAGAACGAGAAGGAAUAAUGUUCGCAUCUGGGGGCUAAAGGAGGGAGUAGAGGGAGACUCCAUGCUGGAAUAUGUUGACAAACUUAUUCACACCGAGCUGGGAGUGCCUGAGGACGUCAAACUGGAGAUUCAAAGAGCACACAGAGCAAUAGCGCCGAAACCGCAAUCAAACAAGCCCCCGAGAGCGAUCAUUGUGAACUUUCUGAAGUACGAGAUCAAAGAGAGCAUUCUCAGGACGGCCUGGAAGAAGGAGGUAAAAGUAGAAGGUCAGAGAGUGACUUUUGAUCAGGAUUACGCAGCUGAAGUGGCGGCCAAACGUCGAAAAUACGUGGGACUCAAGAGAAUUCUGAAAGAGCACGGGAUCCGGUUCCAGUCCCCGAUGGAUACCUUGAGGGUCCACUGGCCUGAGGGAGCCCAAGUGUACCACAACGCCCGGGAUGCAGCGGAGGCGAUGCGGCAGAAAGGAUGGCAGGUACCGGAUCCGGGAGAUGAGGAGAUGACACCGAUGCAGAGACUGGAGGCAGCGCUUCAGUGGACCAGAGUGGACAAAUGAGGACGAGAGGACCAGAGACGGCGGAGAGGGACAUGGACCGGUACAGGAUGGAAGACAAGAAAAUAACAAACAAGCACCGGCCUCAUUCUAGAACGGAAUUGUUUUUCCCCCCUUUUUUUUUUUUUUUUUUUUUUUUUUCCUCUCUCUUCUUCUUUUCAAGAUGAACUUUGAACAUCAGGCGGGUGAGUAACUUAAAGAAAAUAAAGGUCAACGGAUACGGCAUUAUUCACAGCUAUAUAGAUUUUUGAGUUGUAUAU